AUUGAACGCUGGCGGCAGGCCUAACACAUGCAAGUCGAGCGGAUGAGGGGAGCUUGCUCCCUGAUUUAGCGGCGGACGGGUGAGUAAUGCCUAGGAAUCUGCCUGGUAGUGGGGGAUAACGUUCCGAAAGGAACGCUAAUACCGCAUACGUCCUACGGGAGAAAGCAGGGGACCUUCGGGCCUUGCGCUAUCAGAUGAGCCUAGGUCGGAUUAGCUAGUUGGUGAGGUAAUGGCUCACCAAGGCGACGAUCCGUAACUGGUCUGAGAGGAUGAUCAGUCACACUGGAACUGAGACACGGUCCAGACUCCUACGGGAGGCAGCAGUGGGGAAUAUUGGACAAUGGGCGAAAGCCUGAUCCAGCCAUGCCGCGUGUGUGAAGAAGGUCUUCGGAUUGUAAAGCACUUUAAGUUGGGAGGAAGGGCUGCUGGCUAAUACCCUGCAGUUUUGACGUUACCAACAGAAUAAGCACCGGCUAACUUCGUG
RNAcentral lists this ribosomal RNA (484 nucleotides) under uncultured bacterium. RNAcentral's name for it is "partial 16S ribosomal RNA". It matches the Rfam family "Bacterial small subunit ribosomal RNA", at positions 30 to 507 of the family's 1533-position model. The record is from RNAcentral.